This is a long non-coding RNA of Arabidopsis lyrata subsp. lyrata, 1385 nucleotides long. RefSeq lists it as uncharacterized. The transcript is spliced from 2 exons. The record is from RefSeq and is a predicted model, not a curated record. Lineage: Eukaryota; Viridiplantae; Streptophyta; Magnoliopsida; Brassicales; Brassicaceae.
GUUGUGGAUUGGAAAAGGGUGUUGGCUUAUGAUUGGUUGAUGAGAUAUUGAAAUAUUUAUCUCAUCCUAAUAAUUUAAAUAUAUAUUUUUGUAUUUUUUAUACCAAAAUUCAUUUUUUUUUCUCCUAUAAAUAGAAAAUUGAUUUAUUUGAUUCGGACAGCAAAACAAAUCCGUUUUUUUAGUAUCAUUUUCUAUUAGCCUUUGCUAAGCUCUUGUUUAGAGCUUUAAACAUCUUUUUGUUGAAAUGGAUCCAACAAUGAUCCUUUUAACACCCAAAAAUCCAAACCCUUAUUAAUUCCAAAAGCAGUCUUCCAUCCCACCCCAAAAUAUGCCAAAUUAUGGUUUUGCACCAAAUUUUUUCAUGUCGUCACAUGUUCCAAACUAUCGACCAUAUUAUUUAUCGAUGAGUUCCCCGAGUUUUCUAUACAACUGGCUCUUGGCGCUUGGCGGUGUGGGCGGUGUGGGCGGUGUUAAUGAAGCCACUCUAAUGUAAAGGAUUCAACUCAUGCUCGUCGGAGAAGCCCCAAAUGGACCACUACUCAAAAUUUAGUGCUACUUGGCGGACAGAUAAAAUAUGGAACAAACAGCGUUGUAAUGAGCAUUUUCCAUUCGAUCCAUAAAAAAUGAAGCAUAUAGGGAAAUUUCUGAGUAUUGUAAUGAGCAUUGCUCAUUCGAUCUUCCGCGUGAUGGAGUUUGGUGAAGAAAUAAUUACAACUACAUCAACAAAAUGUUGAGAAAAUAGACUGGCGCUUAUGACAACGCUAAGCGUAUGCAACAAAGCAGGUGGUCGGAGAAUGAUGUUUUGACGAAAGCAAAUGAACUAUAUACAAGAAGUGGGAAUGGACAUUUUAAUUUAAUGUUAGAAUGGCUCACAGUUCGUGAUUAACCACGUCAUGGUUGUCAUGUAGGAGGAAAAGUUAGAUUUAAGAGAUCCCACAAGAGUAAUGCAAGUAACUCCAACUCGGUGGGAUCUAUUGCUCGCCUAAUGGGGAGAGAUGCAGCUAAAAAAGGUAAAAAUAAAGGUAAAAAGAAAGGAAAGGGUACAACCUUGGAAGUGGUCAAUGAAGAGUAGAAUGAAUAUAAAACAUUCAAAGCGCGAGAGUUGGAACGAUUGGAAAGAAUAGCCACGCAGAAUGAAGUGGCAAACCAAUAAAAAAGAGGACUCUAGAUAAGAAGAUAUAUGAAGAUGUUUACUGCAAAAGUGUAUCUCGAUGACCAGAGUAAACAAUUGUUGGAGGAGUUGAACCAUGAUCUAUUUUUAAAUUAAUAUUUCUCAAGUUGUUGUAUUUUUUAUCGUUUAUGCUUUAAUAAUGUUAGUCAUGUGUUUGUAUAUAUGCAUUUUGUCGUUUUAUGCUUUAAUAAUGUUGAUCAUGUGUCUGUAUGCA